RNAcentral lists this long non-coding RNA (788 nucleotides) under Homo sapiens (human). RNAcentral's name for it is "HSALNT0162061". Lineage: Eukaryota; Metazoa; Chordata; Mammalia; Primates; Hominidae. The record is from RNAcentral.
UUCUAGGAUACAGUCUGAGGGCAUCCCUGUUUAACGCACAGAGGAGAAAACCCAGCCAGGUAACUGAGUGUAUGACUUGGUCCAAUGAAGGUAAGCCUGACGAGGCAGAACCAGUCCACUGUCACAGAGUCACAGAUGGCCAGCCCGGAAGGAAAGAGCCGCUGGUUACGAGGUGUGCAGAGACAAGCUAGUAUCCCAACACAUCCGUCCUGUGAACUCCAUUAGGGUGGAUGGAGAGGAAGAGACUAAGGAUUCACACAUCACGAAGACAUUUGUGGAAGACGGAGUGUGUUUCCAUUAUCCUUUCAGAGUUUGCAAACGAGGCGGUGCCCAGCAUAGACAGGUUCUCUGCCCACCCAUCCUGAAUCCACAAGGCCACAGAUGCAGAAAGGAUAUUUAAUAAAGUUCAACACUGAGUCCUGACAAACACUGCAAGAAAGCUCAAACGGAAAGGAAGUUCCUUACUGUGAUUGAGAAUAUAUCAUACUUCUGGUAUGCUACUGAAAGCUUCUGAGGUUGGGGAUAAGACAAGGGCUCUGUCUGUCACCAUUUCUCUUGAACCUUACAAUGGAAUUUGGCACUAUGGGAGUUGCAAAUCAACACAGUGGCCACUCAAGGAGAAGCAAGGGGUGGCUGGAAGGAGAGGUGCCCCUGGAGUUCUGUAAAAUCUGCUUCUUGAUGUGCCUUUGAGUGUUCUCUUUGUGUAAAUUCUUUGAACUGCACUCUUAUGAUUUGUGCAUAUUUCCCUAUGAAAAUUAUACCUCAAUAAAAUAUUGACUUAAAUAACA